AAUAAACUAAUUUUUCAUUUUUUACCUAUAAUUUUUGACCCUUCGUCUUAUUCAAAUUUUUUUUGCGAUUGAUAUUUUUGUUUUUAUUAGAUGAUAAAUCAUGAAUAGUACUUUACGUGUGACUAAUUUUUUUCUAAUUUCUUGAAAACUUUUUAAAUAAGACGGAUGGUCAAACGUUGGAUAUAAAAACCGAAG
This 195-nucleotide microRNA precursor is filed under the name Oryza brachyantha (malo sina). RNAcentral's name for it is "MIR812 microRNA precursor family". It matches the Rfam family "MIR812 microRNA precursor family". Lineage: Eukaryota; Viridiplantae; Streptophyta; Magnoliopsida; Poales; Poaceae. The record is from Rfam by way of RNAcentral.